UACAGAGGGGGCAAGCGUUGUUCGGAAUUACUGGGCGUAAAGGGCGCGUAGGCGGCCUGUUAAGUCGAACGUGAAAUCCCCGGGCUCAACCCGGGAACUGCGUCCGAUACUGGCAGGCUUGAAUUCGGGAGAGGGAUGUGGAAUUCCAGGUGUAGCGGUGAAAUGCGUAGAUAUCUGGAGGAACACCGGUGGCGAAGGCGACAUCCUGGACCGACAUUGACGCUGAGGCGCGAAAGCCAGGGGAGCAAACGGG
RNAcentral lists this ribosomal RNA (253 nucleotides) under uncultured bacterium. RNAcentral describes it as "partial 16S ribosomal RNA". It matches the Rfam family "Bacterial small subunit ribosomal RNA", at positions 524 to 776 of the family's 1533-position model. The record is from RNAcentral.